RNAcentral lists this long non-coding RNA (2631 nucleotides) under Equus asinus (donkey). RNAcentral describes it as "lncRNA (ENSEASG00005026437.1)". The record is from RNAcentral. Lineage: Eukaryota; Metazoa; Chordata; Mammalia; Perissodactyla; Equidae.
GGUGCUGAGAUGGGGGGGUGAGGGGAAGUUUUCUGUAGUCCUAUGAUUAGGUCUCAGUAUUUUAGUGAGCCUAUGCCUAUGGACUGUGAGCUUCGCAUGGGCUUCUCGUUCUUCUUUCCUUAUGUGGGGCAGGAUGACUAGAAUGGGCUUCAGUUGGGUAUUUCCCUUUCCCUAAGUCAGUUAGGCUCUGAUAAAACCCCAGCAGGUAAGGCUCUAGUUACACAGUUACACCUGUGGGCAGACGUUAAGAAGAACAGUGCUGAGAUAUUUCAAAAUGGUUCCUUUUCCUCUCUCCCUGCUGGAAGCUUGAGGAUUUUUCUCCCAUAUUUACUGUGAGAAUCUGGCUGAGCUCCUGGAGGUGAAACUCACAGUAGUGUGGUGGGCCCACCUAUGACUGGAUCCUCUUGGAGUUUUUAAUUCUUGGACUUGUCCACAGUGAACCUCCAGCAAUUUGUCAGUUACAGUUGAAGUUUUCCUCUCCCGGGACCAGUUCUGGAGGAGGUUUCAGCUCUUGAGUUUUGCUUGGACAGAGUGGUGACUUCCAAGCUCCUCACAUGCCAAACUCAAAUGCUUGGGCCAAUUUUAACAAUUUUUAGGCCUAUGCUGAGCAAGGAACUAUUAUUAGUGUUGGUGAUACCAAAAUUUGAAGACAAAAUUGCCUGUCACUGUGGAGCUUCCACUAUGUAAAACUGUCAAUGCUGUGCUAAAUGCCACCUUUAGUAGGAACCGUCUGCCCAGCCCAUACCUAGAACCUCAGACUUGCCUGAAAUUGGCCCUUCCUACAGGACAUUGCUGCUGUGGGGUGUUGUCCUCCUUUCUGUGACAUUUCUCUUGUCUGUGAUUUUUUUUCUGCUAAAUUCCUAUUGCCUCAACAGUUUGUCGAUGUCUUCGAACAGUGUUUCUGUUUUGUAUUUUAUAUGGAUUUUCUACUUGUGCUGGUGGAAGAAUUAAUCUCCCAAAAGGGACUCAGUCUCAUCAUGUGAUAUACUGUUAAAUAUCAGAAAGAAGAGAGCCAAUUCUAUAAAUGUUGGUCUGAAGACACGCAUACACACACUCGCAAAUACUCUAAACAUACAUGCAAUUAUUAAGAUGAGUGCUGUUCAUUUUUAUUCUAGAAGUGAUAUUUUUAAUUUUAACUUUGUUGAAUAUUAUGUUCCUGUAGUUUCCAAAAUUUCAGACAAUGAAAAUGGAAAGCCAUCCUCAGCAGAAGUAAAUUUAAAUAGUAAAGGAGUAUGUUUUAUUAUGAGACGCAUGGGCACUAUGGAAAUUAGAUGACAUAAUAUAUUUAUUUGGAGUUUUUAAUUUUUUUUUUUUUUUGGUGAGGAAGAUUCACCCUGAGCUAACAUCCUUUGCCAAUCAUCGUCUUUUUUUUUGCUUGAGGAAGAUAUGCCCUGAGCUGACAUCUUGCCAACCCUCCUCUAUUUUGUAUGUGGGAUGCCACCACAGCAUGGCUGAUGAGUGGAGGAGGUCCGUGCCUAGGAUCCAAAACCACAAACCCAGGCUGCCGAAGUGGAACACAUGGAACUUUAACCACUUAGCCAUGGGGAUGGCCCCUAAAUUAUUCUUGUAUAAUGCAAGGACAAAAAUAUAUUUAAUGAUGGUAAAACAUUUUGUUUUAAUCUAUCAAAAAUAGCUUUAGAUAUUAUGUAACAUUUUAGAUAGUGACUUCAUUGUAACGUGUUAUUUUUUCAUAAAUAAAAGUUUUAUUAUUAACUAGAGUGAGCAUGGCUUUCUAAAGAUCAUGUUGGUUAUCUUUGGUUUUCCUGGGAGGAAAAGGACUCUGUGCCCCUGGUAUUUUAGAUAAUAGAUUUUUGGCUAUGAACAGUUGAAUUACUUACGAGAUUGCUUUUUAAAUAAUACAUGAGUUUGAAUCCUAUGAUAACAUUUUCAAAAGAUAAUUAUUUGAUAAAGGAAUGGAUUUGAAGGCAUGUAAGAAUCUUGUGACUCCUUGUGUUCUAAACAUUGUAAGUGCCUGUCUCAAGAGCUUGUAAAAUGAGUAUGCUUUGUUGGUUGAUGUUCAUUGGUUUGUGGUUAUUUUAACUGAAAUUGACAGUAAUAUACUGUCUGUGUGUAUAUACUAUAUAUACAUGUGUGUGUAUAUACAGUGUAUAUAUGCAUUGUAUAUAUACAAUUGUAUAUACGUUGUGGCUGUUUCAGUUUCAAUCAUGCAAAGAUCAACAACAAGCAAUCUAUCUUCAGAAUAUUUAGUUUCUAUGAAAGGUAGUGGCAGAAAGAUUAUGUUGAUUAUUUUAAAGCUGUCUGUUUUUAUUUGAGAGAAAUUUAAACUGUCUGCAUCCUGUAUUAAGAUGUCUUUAUAAGUUUUCAACUUUUGAUGGAAGAACACAGUUAAAUAAUAUGAUUUAGCUUGUUUUAAACUAUUGGGUUUAUAAAUAUUGUUACCCGGGUAAUGAUUCCAUUUAAUAAAAACAUUCUUUGAGUGAAUUAGAUCUGAGACAUUAAAAAGUUCAGUUAAUAAUAACCUACACAGCGGAUGCAAAACAGAAGUAACCUUUGCUUAUUAGAAGGUCUGCCUUCAUUUUUUUUUAUAGGAGAGAGUAGCUUUAAUGGAUGUGCAAAAUGCAGAGUAAUCAGAGAAGUAAAUUAGGUCAAAAUAACUAAAUGAGGAUUUUG